This 480-nucleotide ribosomal RNA is filed under the name uncultured bacterium. RNAcentral describes it as "partial 16S ribosomal RNA". It matches the Rfam family "Bacterial small subunit ribosomal RNA", at positions 28 to 507 of the family's 1533-position model. The record is from RNAcentral.
GACGAACGCUGGCGGCGUGCUUAACACAUGCCAGUCGAACGAUAAAGAAAAGAAUCGAAGCUUCGGCAGAAAUUCAUUUCGGAUUAGUGGCAGACGGGUGAGUAACGCGUGAGCAACCUACCUCUUACAAAGGGAUAGCCUCGGGAAACCGGGAUUAAUACCAUAUAACAUUGUGACGAAGCAUUUCGAUGCAAUCAAAGCUACGGCGGUAAGAGAUGGGCUCGCGUCCCAUUAACCGGAUGGUGAGGUAACGGCUCACCAUAGUGACGAUGGGUAACCGGCCUGAGAGGGUGAACGGUCACACUGGAACUGAGACACGGUCCAGACUCCUACGGGAGGCAGCAGUGGGGAAUAUUGCACAAUGGAGGGAACUCUGAUGCAGCGACGCCGCGUGAGUGAUGAAGGAAUUCGUUUCGUAAAACUCUGUUCUAUGGGAAGAAAAGGACUGUACCAUAGGAGAAAGCUCCGGCUAAAUACGUG